UUAAUUCCUUCCUCCCAACCACCCUGGGAAAAAGCGGCUUAGGAAGUUGGACUUACUUGUAAUUAUUUGUAAUUUACUGUUAUUUUUAACUGCAUGGGAGAGGGUAGAAAUAAAGUCUUUCAUGUUUAGGGCCUCUAAAGAUCUAAAUGUGGCCCCAGGUCAUAAUUCAAAUAGGUUGGAUGUAAUCUGUGGUAAUAGCCCUAGUUUUGUUCCAAAUGUUACAUCAGAAAGGGGUGAUAAUGACUUCUAAAACAUGAAGGGCCAAUUAGUUUUGGCACUUUAUCUUAGGGAACAAUGUUUAAUACACAUUAGGAAUGAAAACUUUUUAUGGCUAGGUUAUAUUAAUCAGUACAGACUUAAUGUUCUGAAAUACCUAUAGCUAAAAAACAGUUCCAUUCAAAGAGAUUAAUCACAGUAUUUUAAGAAAUCUAUAGACAUUAUCAAGUGCUAUAAAUAAUGAUUUUACACUGUGAAAUUCUUUCUGAAUUGAAGGUUAUAUUCUUUAGUUUCUCAGAACGUGAAUUACUAUGUACACAUUUUGGAGAGCUUACUCUGCCAAAUCUUUCCCUGCUAAUUUGUGUGUGGUUUAUGAAGACCUCAUUAUCCCAGGUUCAAGAGAAUACUAGAGAUAAAAUAGCUUCUGGUUACUGUAUUCUCUGGAUUCUAAGAUAGACAAUCACUUUUGUUUCCUGAGCAUUAUUGAUAUUUUUAAAAAUCUCUGGGUAGAAAUUAUUUGCUGAGGCAUCUGCUAUUGACAUUCUAGACCUAUUGUACCCUUAUCAAGUGUGUGUUUAAUGCAUAGCAUCUAGGUCAUUUUAUAUCAUAUUUUGAUCUUUUAAAAUAUAGUUUGGGUAAAAACCUUUGAAUAUGAAAAUAAUUAAAACUUGAAAAAGUAAUUUCACAUUUUAAAAUUCACUAUCUUACUGAGGAAGGAAUUUAUAAAGACAUUCUGAUUUGCUGUGCUGACAAAUGAGAUCAUUGGUGAAGAAAAAUGUGCAGCUGACAUCUUGAUGCUGCAAUCUGCUGUCUAAAUAUUAAUUAAAACUUUAUUUUUUCUCUAGAAUCUAAAUUUGAUGACCGACAUUCCUUUUUAUAUUCCUUCUUUUACAGAUAUAAA
Bos taurus (domestic cattle) is the source of this 1117-nucleotide long non-coding RNA. The record is from Ensembl. NCBI's taxonomy places the organism in Eukaryota, Metazoa, Chordata, Mammalia, Artiodactyla, Bovidae.